GAAAAAUCAAACAUAGAAACCUUGUCCCUUUGUUGGGAUAUUGCAAGAUUGGGGAGGAAAGGCUUCUCGUAUACGAAUACAUGAAAUGGGGAAGUCUUGAAUCUGUUCUUCAUGAUGGCGGGAAAGGAGGGAUGUUUCUUGAUUGGCCAGCUAGAAAGAAAAUCGCGAUAGGAUCAGCAAGAGGGUUAGCAUUUCUUCACCACAGCUGCAUACCACAC
This 218-nucleotide unclassified non-coding RNA is filed under the name Hevea brasiliensis (rubber tree). The record is from RNAcentral. Lineage: Eukaryota; Viridiplantae; Streptophyta; Magnoliopsida; Malpighiales; Euphorbiaceae.